CCCGUUUUGRAAAAMGRACCAAGGAGUGCAAGAGAUGCGCAAGUCGGAAGGGUUGUGUCAGGGCCUCGGUCCUGCCUGAGAGACCCAUGUGUUUGGAACGGGCGAAGUGAGAGCAAUUUGUGGGUGCGAGAGCCUUGGGGAGACCCGAGGCGCAUCGCUGGCCGAGCCGUAUGGUCACGCUGUGGCCGGUUUCGAGUGCGAGCGUAUCUGUUGCGACCCGAAAGAUGGUGAACUAUGCCUGAGGAGGGUGAAGCCAGAGGAAACUCUGGUGGAGGCCCGUAGCGGUUCUGACGUGCAAAUCGAUUGUCGCACUUGGGUAUAGGGGCGAAAGACUAAUCGAACCAUCUAGUAGCUGGUUCCCUCCGAAGUUUCCCUCAGGAUAGCUGGAGUUGUUGAGCAGUUUCGUCGGGUAAAGCGAAUGAUUAGAGGUAUCGGGGUUGAAAGGGCCUCGCCCUAUUCUCAAACUUUAAAUCGGCGAGAAGGGUUGUCUUGCCUGCCGGAAGGCAUCCCUUGAAUGCAGGGGCUCCAAGUGGGCCGUUUUUGGUAAGCAGAACCGGCGAUGCGGGAUGAACCGAACGUUGGGCUAUGGCGCCGGAGUCGACGCUAAGCAGAUACCAGGAAAGGUGUUGGUUAAU
Molecule: ribosomal RNA, 635 nt
Filed under: Callyspongia multiformis
Lineage: Eukaryota; Metazoa; Porifera; Demospongiae; Haplosclerida; Callyspongiidae
Description: eukaryotic LSU rRNA
Rfam family: Eukaryotic large subunit ribosomal RNA
Source: RNAcentral